CCUACGGGAGGCAGCAGUGAGGAAUAUUGGUCAAUGGGCGAGAGCCUGAACCAGCCACGUCGCGUGAAGGAUGAAGGACCUAUGGUUUGUAAACUUCUUUUAUAUGGGAGUAAAUUGAGGAACGUGUUCAUUUUUGUACGUACCAUAUGAAUAAGCAUAGGCCAACUCCGUGCCAGCAGCCGCGGUAAUACGGAGGAUGCGAGCGUUAACCGGAUUUAUUGGGUUUAAAGGGUGCGUAGACGGGUAAGUAAGUCUGCAGUGAAAGUUUGUGGCUCAACCAUAAAAUUGCCGUGGAAACUGGGUGGCUUGAGUGUAUUUGAGGUAGGCGGAAUGCGUGGUGUAGCGGUGAAAUGCAUAGAUAUCACGCAGAACACCGAUUGCGAAGGCAGCUUACUAGACUAUAACUGACGCUGAAGCACGAAAGCGUGGGGAGCAAACAGGAUUAGAUACCCUGGUAGUC
This 460-nucleotide ribosomal RNA is filed under the name uncultured bacterium. Its description in RNAcentral is "partial 16S ribosomal RNA". It matches the Rfam family "Bacterial small subunit ribosomal RNA", at positions 338 to 795 of the family's 1533-position model. The record is from RNAcentral.